CAACAGGUCAUCUUACAAAAAGUCACAAGUUGGAGUCAUGGUGCUGUUAUUUCCAACUACUUCCUCACCUGCUGAAACACUGAGGAACUUCACAAAUAGAAUUUCCUGAGGCCAAGCUAACAGAUGCACUGAAAGAGGCAUGAUGAGCUUUUUAAAAAUCCUUUUAAAAAUAUACUACCUCUUUCUGGCCUGCAAUGGAAAAAAGACAGCCUCUUCAAUAAAUGGUGCUGGGAAAAUUGGACAGUCACAUGCAGAAAAAUGAAAUUGGN
Molecule: long non-coding RNA, 269 nt
Filed under: Mustela putorius furo (domestic ferret)
Lineage: Eukaryota; Metazoa; Chordata; Mammalia; Carnivora; Mustelidae
Description: lncRNA (ENSMPUG00000030948.1)
Source: RNAcentral